UCGAACGAACCUUCGGGUUAGUGGCGGACGGGUGAGUAACGCGUGGGAAUCUGCCCUCAGGAGGGGGAUAACGGUUGGAAACGACCGCUAAUACCCCAUAUGCCGAAAGGUGAAAUGAAUUUCGCCUGAGGAUGAGCCCGCGUCUGAUUAGCUAGUUGGUAAGGUAAUGGCUUACCAAGGCUUCGAUCAGUAGCUGGUCUGAGAGGAUGAUCAGCCACACUGGGACUGAGACACGGCCCAGACUCCUACGGGAGGCAGCAGUGGGGAAUUUUCCGCAAUGGGCGCAAGCCUGACGGAGCAACGCCGCGUGAGGGACGAAGGCCUCUGGGCUGUAAACCUCUUUUCUCAAGGAAGAAGAUAUGACGGUACUUGAGGAAUAAGCCACGGCUAAUUCCGUGCCAGCAGCCGCGGUAAUACGGGAGUGGCAAGCGUUAUCCGGAAUUAUUGGGCGUAAAGCGUCCGCAGGCGGCUUUCCAAGUCUGCUGUUAAAGCGUGGAGCUUAACUCCAUUAUGGCAGUGGAAACUGUAAGGCUUGAGUAUGGUAGGGGCAGAGGGAA
This 557-nucleotide ribosomal RNA is filed under the name uncultured Prochlorococcus sp. RNAcentral's name for it is "bacterial SSU rRNA". It matches the Rfam family "Bacterial small subunit ribosomal RNA", at positions 62 to 666 of the family's 1533-position model. Lineage: Bacteria; Bacillati; Cyanobacteriota; Cyanophyceae; Synechococcales; Prochlorococcaceae. The record is from RNAcentral.